GAUACGUUAUCGUGUUACCGGACACGUAUACUUCGCGCGUCGAACAAAAAAACGAAAUUCCUGAGUUACUACGUCAUUCGCGCGGCGUCACUCGAGUGGAAAGAUGCGAGAUAUUUCUGUUAGUGCAACGAAGAAACAGCAAAAGGGGAGAAAAGAAGACUCGGAGCAGUUUUGGACGACGACGAAACAACCUAGAGUCAUGCGGUUUGGUUUCUCAUCUGGCGACUGUGCGACGACAAAAACGAAGAUAGAAAUCUCGACAGCCCUCCUCAAGCAACGGGGGAGUAGCACCAGAUCCCUUCCUUUAUGAAA
This is a long non-coding RNA of Camponotus floridanus (Florida carpenter ant), 312 nucleotides long. RefSeq lists it as uncharacterized. The transcript is spliced from 3 exons. NCBI's taxonomy places the organism in Eukaryota, Metazoa, Arthropoda, Insecta, Hymenoptera, Formicidae. The record is from RefSeq and is a predicted model, not a curated record.